Molecule: ribosomal RNA, 446 nt
Filed under: uncultured bacterium
Lineage: Bacteria
Description: partial 16S ribosomal RNA
Rfam family: Bacterial small subunit ribosomal RNA
Source: RNAcentral
CCUACGGGCGGCAGCAGUAGGGAAUAUUCCGCAAUGGGGGAAACCCUGACGGAGCAACGCCGCGUGAACGAAGAAGUUAUUCGUAAUGUAAAGCUCUUUCAACAGGGAAGAAAGAGAAAUUUGACGGUACCUGAAGAAUAAGCUCCGGCUAACAAAGCACCAGCAGCCGCGGUAAUACGGAGGGAGUGAGCCUUAUUCGGUAUGUGUGGGUGAAAGGGAUGGGAAGAUGACAGAGAACGUCUUUUGUAAAAAUGCUGGCCCAAACACAGUAGGGCAAAAGAUACUGCAAAGCUAGAGUAUGACAGAGGCAAGUGGAACUACAAGUGUAGCGGUAAAAUGCGUAGAUAUAUGGAGGAACACCAGUGGCGAAGGCGGCUUACUGGAUCGAAACUGACAUUGAGGCACGAAAGCGUGGGGAGCAAACAGGAUUAGAUACCCGAGUAGUC